CGUGACGGCGCGAGCAGGUGCGAAAGCAGGUCAUAGUGAUCCGGUGGUUCUGAAUGGAAGGGCCAUCGCUCAACGGAUAAAAGGUACUCCGGGGAUAACAGGCUGAUACCGCCCAAGAGUUCAUAUCGACGGCGGUGUUUGGCACCUCGAUGUCGGCUCAUCACAUCCUGGGGCUGAAGUAGGUCCCAAGGGUAUGGCUGUUCGCCAUUUAAAGUGGUACGCGAGCUGGGUUUAGAACGUCGUGAGACAGUUCGGUCCCUAUCUGCCGUGGGCGCUGGAGAACUGAGGGGGGCUGCUCCUAGUACGAGAGGACCGGAGUGGACGCAUCACUGGUGUUCGGGUUGUCAUGCCAAUGGCACUGCCCGGUAGCUAAAUGCGGAAGAGAUAAGUGCUGAAAGCAUCUAAGCACGAAACUUGCCCCGAGAUGAGUUCUCCCUGACCCUUUAAGGGUCCUGAAGGAACGUUGAAGACGACGACGUUGAUAGGCCGGGUGUGUAAGCGCAGCGAUGCGUUGAGCUAACCGGUACUAAUGAACCGUGAGGCUUAACCUUACAACGCCGAAGGUGUUU
This 569-nucleotide ribosomal RNA is filed under the name Escherichia coli. RNAcentral describes it as "partial 23S ribosomal RNA". It matches the Rfam family "Bacterial large subunit ribosomal RNA", at positions 2380 to 2925 of the family's 2925-position model. The record is from RNAcentral. Lineage: Bacteria; Pseudomonadati; Pseudomonadota; Gammaproteobacteria; Enterobacterales; Enterobacteriaceae.